UCCUUUGGUUUAUAUAAAAGGUCAGACCUGCCCUAUGAUUUAUUAAAUGGCCGCGGUAUCCUGACCGUGCAAAGGUAGCAUAAUAGAUUGUUUUUUAAUUGAGAACUGGAAUGAAUGGUCAUACGAGAAAUUAGCUUUCUUUAUUUUAUUAUAAUGAAAUUUAUUUUUUUGUGAAAAAGCAAAGAUGUAUUUAUUAGACGAUAAGACCCUAUAAAACUUCAUUGAUUUGUAAAAUUAAGUUGUUUAGUUUUUAAUUUAAAGCUUUUUUUAAUAAAUUAAUUUUGUUGGGGAGACAAGUAAAUAUAUUUAACUUUAUUUUUUUUAUUCAUUAAUUUAUGUAUUUUUUGAUCCCAUUUUUAGAUUAAAAAAAUAAUUUAUUUUAGG
This 384-nucleotide ribosomal RNA is filed under the name Cacodmus vicinus. RNAcentral describes it as "partial 16S ribosomal RNA". The record is from RNAcentral. Lineage: Eukaryota; Metazoa; Arthropoda; Insecta; Hemiptera; Cimicidae.